Molecule: ribosomal RNA, 253 nt
Filed under: uncultured bacterium
Lineage: Bacteria
Description: partial 16S ribosomal RNA
Rfam family: Bacterial small subunit ribosomal RNA
Source: RNAcentral
UACGAAGGGGGCUAGCGUUGUUCGGAUUUACUGGGCGUAAAGCGCACGUAGGCGGAUUCUUAAGUCAGAGGUGAAAUCCCAAGGCUCAACCUUGGAACUGCCUUUGAUACUGGGGAUCUUGAGUCCGGAAGAGGUGAGUGGAACUGCGAGUGUAGAGGUGAAAUUCGUAGAUAUUCGCAAGAACACCAGUGGCGAAGGCGGCUCACUGGUCCGGUACUGACGCUGAGGUGCGAAAGCGUGGGGAGCAAACAGG